GUCAUGAGACGUCUGACGGAGCACGCCGCGUGAGUGAUGAAGGAUUUCGGUCUGUAAAGCUCUGUUGUUUAUGACGAACGUGCAGUGUGUGAACAAUGCAUUGCAAUGACGGUAGUAAACGAGGAAGCCACGGCUAACUACGUGCCAGCAGCCGCGGUAAUACGUAGGUGGCGAGCGUUGUCCGGAAUUAUUGGGCGUAAAGAGCAUGUAGGCGGCUUAAUAAAUCGAGCGUGAAAAUGCGGGGCUCAACCCCGUAUGGCGCUGGAAACUGUUAGGCUUGAGUGCAGGAGAGGAAAGGGGAAUUCCCAGUGUAGCGGUGAAAUGCGUAGAUAUUGGGAGGAACACCAGUGGCGAAGGCGCCUUUCUGGACUGUGUCUGACGCUGAGAUGCGAAAGCCAGGGUAGCGAACGGGAUUAGAUACCCCGGUAGUCCUGGCCGUAAACGAUGGGUACUAGGUGUAGGAGGUAUCGACCCCUUCUGUGCCGGAGUUAACGCAAUAAGUACCCCGCCUGGGGAGUACGGCCGCAAGGUUGAAACUCAAAGAAAUUUUGGCGG
Molecule: ribosomal RNA, 555 nt
Filed under: uncultured bacterium
Lineage: Bacteria
Description: bacterial SSU rRNA
Rfam family: Bacterial small subunit ribosomal RNA
Source: RNAcentral